AUGUAUAUGAAUUCAUUGACAUAUUUAACAAGUGAAGCCUUUUCUAAUAUUCCUACUCAUCUGGUGGUUGAUUUGCAAAAGAUGCUCUCAGUUGACAGCGGCGGCGGACAGCGCUGGGCGGCACGCCCAUCAGUGCCCGUGUGCCCCGACCGGUGCGGACUGCUUGUGUAG
RNAcentral lists this ribosomal RNA (171 nucleotides) under Triticum aestivum (bread wheat). Its description in RNAcentral is "partial small subunit ribosomal RNA". The record is from RNAcentral. Lineage: Eukaryota; Viridiplantae; Streptophyta; Magnoliopsida; Poales; Poaceae.